CCUACGGGUGGCAGCAGUCGAGAAUCAUUCACAAUGGGGGAAACCCUGAUGGUGCGACGCCGCGUGGGGGAAUGAAGGUCUUCGGAUUGUAAACCCCUGUCAUGUGGGAGCAAAUUAAAAAGAUAGUACCACAAGAGGAAGAGACGGCUAACUCUGUGCCAGCAGCCGCGGUAAUACAGAGGUCGCAAGCGUUGUUCGGAAUCACUGGGCGUAAGGGGUGCGUAGGCUGUUUCAUAAGUCGUGUGUGAAAGGCGCGGGCUCAACCCGCGGACGGCACAUGAUACUGCGAUACUAGAGUAAUGGAGGGGGAACCGGAAUUCUCGGUGUAGCAGUGAAAUGCGUAGAUAUCGAGAGGAACACUCGUGGCGAAGGCGGGUUCCUGGACAUUAACUGACGCUGAGGCACGAAGGCCAGGGGAGCGAAAGGGAUUAGAUACCCUGGUAGUC
Molecule: ribosomal RNA, 446 nt
Filed under: uncultured bacterium
Lineage: Bacteria
Description: partial 16S ribosomal RNA
Rfam family: Bacterial small subunit ribosomal RNA
Source: RNAcentral